AGCCUUGUAGUGAAAUUCACGACGAGUUGCAAACUCGUAGAUGUGCUUUAAAUUGUGCCGGGGCUU
RNAcentral lists this transfer RNA (66 nucleotides) under Crocodylus johnstoni (Johnstone river crocodile). RNAcentral's name for it is "Crocodylus johnsoni (Johnstone river crocodile) tRNA-Cys". The record is from RNAcentral. Lineage: Eukaryota; Metazoa; Chordata; Crocodylia; Crocodylidae.